Molecule: ribosomal RNA, 433 nt
Filed under: uncultured bacterium
Lineage: Bacteria
Description: partial 16S ribosomal RNA
Rfam family: Bacterial small subunit ribosomal RNA
Source: RNAcentral
AACGAACGCUGGCGGCAUGCCUAACACAUGCAAGUCGAACGAGACCUUCGGGUUUAGUCGCGCAUGGGUGAGUAAAGCGUGGGAACAUGCCCUUAGGCUCGGAAAAACUCCCUGUAAGGGGUGCUAAUACCGGUUAAUGUCUUCCGACCAAAGAUUUGACGCCAUUGGAUGGGCCCGCGUUGGAUUAGCUAGUUGGUAGGGUAAAAGCCUAUCAAGGCUACGAUCCAUAGAUGGUCGGAGAGGAUGUCCUGCCACGCUUGAACUGAGACACGGCCCAGAAUACUACGAGAUGCAGCAGUGGGGAAUAUUGGAAGAUGGACGAGAUUCUGAUCGCGCAAUGCCGCGUAAGUGAUGUAGGGCUUAGGGUUGUGAAUCUCUUUAACCCGGGAUGAUUAUGACGGUACCGGGAGAAUAAGCUCCGGCUAACUCCGUG